UAGGCUAAGCAAGAAAGAGCGUAUGGCGGAUGCCUAGGCACUAAGAGGCGAAGAAGGACGCAGCGAACGGCGAAACGCGACGGCGAGCAGUAAGCAGGCAACGACCCGUCGAUGUCCGAAUGGGGGAACCCAUCAUUCCGAGAGGGAUGAUAUCGUCUGAUGAAUAAAUAGUCAGACGAGGCGAGACGCAGGGAACUGAAACAUCUCAGUACCUGCAGGAGAAGAAAGUAAGAACGAUUCCGUGAGUAGCGGCGAGCGAAAGCGGAGGAGCCCAAACCAUCGCAAAGAUGGGGUUAUAGGGCUGCCGACAAAGUCGACUUGACAUGAUAGGAGAAGCGCAGGGGAAGGCGCAGCGAAGAGGGUGACACUCCCGUAUCCGAAAUCGUGGAGAGAGGCGAGGCAGUACCUGAGUACGUCGGGGCACGUGAAAUCCUGACGGAAUUAUCGAGGACCAUCUCGAAAGGCUAAAUACUCCUUAGUGACCGAUAGCGAACCAGUACCGUGAGGGAAAGGUGAAAAGAACCCCGGGAGGGGAGUGAAAGAGAACCUGAAACCAUAUGCUUACAAGAAGUCAGAGCCCGUUAAAGGGUGAUGGCGUGCCUUUUGUAGAAUGAGCCGGCGAGUUAUGAUAUGGAGCGAGGUUAAGCGGGAGACGCGGAGCCGAAGCGAAAGCGAGUCUUAAUAGGGCGACAGUUGCAUGUCAUAGACCCGAAACCGGGUGAUCUAGCCAUGAUCAGGUUGAAGUUGGGGUAAAACCCGAUGGAGGACCGAACCGACCCCCGUUGAAACGUUGGCGGAUGAAUUGUGGCUAGGGGUGAAAUUCCAAACGAACCCGGAGAUAGCUGGUUCUCCCCGAAAUAGCUUUAGGGCUAGCGUCGCGCGAAGUCACGUGAAGGUAGAGCACUGAAUAUGUGAUGGCCUCAUCCCGAGGUACUGAGCAUAAUCAAACUCCGAAUGUCACGAGGACAUGCGCGGCAGUCAGACUGCGGGUGAUAAGGUCCGUAGUCAAGAGGGAAACAGCCCAGACCAUCAGCUAAGGUCCCAAAAUAUAUGCUAAGUGGAAAAGGAUGUGGAGAUGUCCAGACAACCAGGAGGUUGGCUCAGAAGCAGCCACCCUUUAAAGAGUGCGUAACAGCUCACUGGUCGAAUGACUCUGCGCCGAAAAUUUACCGGGGCUAAGCAUAAUACCGAAGCUAUGGAUUUAUAGAGAAUAUAAGUGGUAGGGGAGCGUUCCAGUCAGCGAGGAAGCAUGAUCGUAAGGACAUGUGGAGCGGCUGGAAGAGAGAAUGCCGGUGUGAGUAGCGGCACGUGGGUGAGAAUCCCACGCACCGAAGACCCAAGGUUUCCAGAGGAAGGUUCGUCCGCUCUGGGUAAGUCGGGACCUAAGGCGAGGCCGAGAGGCGUAGUCGAUGGACAACGGGUGGAUAUUCCCGUACCUGGCGUGAGGGCGAUGGAGUGACGGAGAAGGCUAGGCGAUCCAGCUGCUGGAAUAGCUGGUGCAAGCGAGGUAGGGGACAUCCAGGCAAAUCCGGAUGUCAUAACCCGAAGACGUGAAGCGUAUGGAACAUUACGAUAAGUACAGAAGUCGCCGAAGCCAUCUUCCAAGAAAAGCUUCUAGCGAUACCUCAAGUCAGCCCGUACCGAAAAUGGACACACAUGGGUGAGGAGAGAAUCCUAAGGUGAGCGAGAGAACUAUAGCUAAGGAACUCUGCAAAAUGACUCCGUAACUUCGGGAGAAGGAGUGCUCAGUGAAAGCUGAGCCGCAGUAAAACGGCCCAAGCGACUGUUUACCAAAAACACAGCUCUCUGCCAAGACGCAAGUCGAAGUAUAGGGGGUGACGCCUGCCCGGUGCUGGAAGGUUAAGAGGAGUGGUCAGUCUUAAGGCGAAGCCAUGAAUUGAAGCCCCAGUAAACGGCGGCCGUAACUAUAACGGUCCUAAGGUAGCGAAAUUCCUUGUCAGGUAAGUUCUGACCCGCACGAAAGGCGUAACGAUUUGGGCGCUGUCUCAGCUGUAGACUCGGUGAAGUCUUAGUACCUGUGAAGAUGCAGGUUACCCGCGACUAGACGGAAAGACCCCAUGGAGCUUUACUGUAGCUUGAUAUUGGAUUUUGAUGCAUGAUGUACAGGAUAGGUAGGAGACAAAGAGACGGAUACGCCAGUAUUCGAGGAGUCGACGUUGGGAUACUACCCUUGAUGCAUUGAAGUUCUAACCGGACGUCGUGAAGCCGAUGACGGGACAGUGUCAGGUGGGCAGUUUGACUGGGGCGGUCGCCUCCCAAAGAGUAACGGAGGCGCCCAAAGAUACCCUCAGCAUGGUUGGAAAUCAUGCGCAGAGUGCAAAGGCAGAAGGGUGUUUGACUGCGAGACAUACAGGUCGAGCAGGGACGAAAGUCGGGCUUAGUGAUCCGGCGGUGCCGAAUGGAAGGGCCGUCGCUCAACGGAUAAAAGCUACCCUGGGGAUAACAGGCUGAUCUCCCCCAAGAGUUCACAUCGACGGGGAGGUUUGGCACCUCGAUGUCGGCUCAUCGCAUCCUGGAGCUGAAGUCGGUUCCAAGGGUUGGGCUGUUCGCCCAUUAAAGCGGUACGCGAGCUGGGUUCAGAACGUCGUGAGACAGUUCGGUCCCUAUCUGUCGUGGGCGUAGGAAGUUUGAGGAGAGCUGCCCUCAGUACGAGAGGACCGGGGUGGACAGACCAAUGGUGCACCAGUUGUCACGCCAGUGGCACAGCUGGGUAGCUAAGUCUGGAAGGGAUAAACGCUGAAGGCAUCUAAGCGUGAAGCCCCCUCCAAGAUGAGACUUCCCAUUUCGAAGGAAAGUAAGACCCCUCUAAGACGAAGAGGUUGAUAGGUCAGGGGUGUAAGCAUGGCGACAUGCUGAGCUGACUGAUACUAAUAGGUCGAGGGCUUAACCUAA
Molecule: ribosomal RNA, 2913 nt
Filed under: Longibaculum muris
Lineage: Bacteria; Bacillati; Bacillota; Erysipelotrichia; Erysipelotrichales; Coprobacillaceae
Description: 23S ribosomal RNA
Rfam family: Bacterial large subunit ribosomal RNA
Source: RNAcentral